GUCUACAGCUAUGCCACCCUGAAUGUGCCCGAUCUCAUCUGAUCUCAGAAGCUAAGCAGGGUCAGGCCUGGUUAGUGCUUCGAUGGAACACUACCUAGGAAUACCAGGUGUUGUAGGUG
Molecule: ribosomal RNA, 119 nt
Filed under: Pteropus alecto (black flying fox)
Lineage: Eukaryota; Metazoa; Chordata; Mammalia; Chiroptera; Pteropodidae
Source: RNAcentral